UAAAACAAGAAAAGAGGAAUCUCUGCAUCUCUUUGCAAACGUGGAAAUAACUGUAUUGGCAGUUUAGACGCCAAGCAAAGAAACCCCUUUGUAUGUAUUAUGAGCCAAACUCCAACCUCUUCUCCAGCGCUAUUUGCAUCUGUAGGUAACUCCUCCAGAAUGGGGGUCAGGUGCAGAACUGCACUACCAAAAGAGCAGAGUUUGUCAAACAGAUGGCUGUGCAGGCCUGUCCGAGCCCUGUAAAUCCCUUAAGGCCGCCAGUGCUCACUGGAGCCGCGGUAAAGCAGCCCACACGCUGACAGCUUGGCUGGGGGUGAGCGCUCAGAGCUCUGCUAUGUGUCCCCCUGCAAAGGGCUUCGGCAGCGCGGUCAGCAGAGACCGCUGGGAGGAGCCGGGAGAACGGAGAAGCAGGAGGGAGGGAGGGAGGCACUGGGGUGCCCAGAAUAUUCACCGUCGAGUCUAAAACGUGAAGAACCAGCAAGGCACAGAACAAAGGGGAACCCUUACAGGUCCGCCCCCGGCCCCACGUCUGCACGUGCAGCAUCAACCCGUACGUGACGGACAAAAAGAAAAACGUCAGGUGAAGUAUAGAAAAUGGCUCGGUGUCCUUUCUGCACUUCGGUAACGUCUCGAUGGCAGCAUUUCCGAGCUCCCCGUCGCUCCGCUGAUCCUUGCCGUCGUCACUUCACAGCUAAGCGAUGAAAAAGGACCGUCCCUUCCAGCUCUGGCGAAACGCGUCCCCAGAGCCCUCGCACAGAGCCGGGCCGGGCUGUGGGGCGCGGCGUUGGGGCUGCCGCCGCGGGUGCCCCCGGGUGAGGCGGCGAGCCGCGCCGGUGCCCGGCACAGGCAGCAAGGAGAGGCGCGGAGCUCGGCCGCACCACCUACCGGCCGCCGCCGGACUCGAUGAGCUGCAGAGCUCCCUUCCAACCCCUGCGGUUCUGGGAAAAGCAGCGGGACUUGCUGAAUCACGAGGUCCAGAGCUCAGUUGAAGGACAGACCUCCUGCCAUCAGCCCAAGAGCGUUCUCUUUGUUACAGCGGCCCUCACGAGCACCAAGACUGAGCCUCUGCUCAGGUAUCUACAAUGCCCUCGGUGCUCUGCAGGCUCCAAGCACGAUCCAAGGAGCUCACAGGGAAGAAACACAGCACGAAAUGUUGCAAGGGCGCAAGAGAAACGGCCGUCAAUCUUUUUCUGGACUGCACAGCUGAUGCACAGCCACGCAAAGAACUCCAAGGGCAAGUCUGGCCACGUAUCAACCACCUGUCCUUGCUACAAAAAGCCUACCUGUCUCUACCUGGCCCUGCCCCAAGGAAGCACCUAUGGGAAUUUGGAAAAGUUUGGGGAUGCAGUGGAGAAAUACAGGCUCUUCACAGCACGUCCCCGGCACCCUAUUGUAUUUUUUAUCAUAAGCACCAUAAGGACGGUUGGACACUGGACUAAGCUGCCCAGCCAGGCCGUGGAAACUCCAUUGCUAGAGAUACUCUAAAUCCAACCCAGCUCCCUGUGCAACCCGCUCCUGCUCCGCCCGCCUCGGGCAGAGGGCUGGGGAUCGACGUGCGGGCUCGCAGCGCUGUGAUUCAGUAGCACUCACACACGGCGAGUUACCUCCGCCUUCCUCCGUCAGCGCUCAGCUUCCUCGGCGGCAGCAGGGAGCAGCGAAAGGCGAGCACCGAAGUUACGCACCGGACCGGCUGCAUUCCUGCGGGGCCGACGGGACGCGAGGCACAGUGCGCAGCCCCGAGCAGCGGCCGGGACCCGGGCGGCCAACAGAGGGCACUGCGCGAUGCCGCCGGCGGGCGGAGCGCGGCUCACGGCGGGGCUGCGGCGCGGAGAGAAAGGGCCUUCCGUACCCGCAGCUGUGAGCGCUGGUGCCCGCCCGCCUGCUCGCCAGCCGGAGCCACGGCGACUCCGAUGCUGCCCCUCUGCUGCAAAGGCUGAACGCUGCUCCUUACUUCCAGUACCUGUGGCUGCCGGGUUCACGUUGCUCAAUUUCCCUGCUCAAUCUCGAGAUCUGAUCAUACGCUUAACAAAAAAAUGACAUUUGAAUUCUUACAUAACCGCAUGACUGCCGGCACUCCGGCUUUCAGGAAGGCACGAAACGUUACAGGUCUAAUGAUGAAAUCCCAAGCACCUCCGAGAACCCUGCAGAUACAGCACCUGGAAGGGGCCGAUGAAACCCAGGAGACAUAAACGGCCUUUUGGUAUUUCACUGGCUGGCCGUGCCAUAGCUUAGGAUCACGAUGCACAUCCACCAUGAGACAGAACACGAAGGCCACUAGGACACUUUCACACUGCAGUCAGCUCCAGUAGAAACUACAGCACGUUUGUUUGAGAUACGGUUUCUUACAGGCAGACAACAAGCGUGGAAAUUCAGAUUUAGGACUAAGAAGCUCUGGUGAACAGAUGAUGUUUCUCAGGACCCCAAAGACCCAGAUUUAGAGGCAGCUGAGCCUAAAAGCACUGCCACAGGUGUCUGACCUGUGUGCUGAUGGGCUGGUUCCAGGCACUGCCAUGCCAGACUCUCCAGCCUGUUCUCCCAGCCAGGGUAAACACAUGUUCCUGGGGUAGUAAAAGGGAAUGGGAACCCCAGCUUUUGUCACUCGGCAUUUGGGAUCUGUGCCCCUCCCCAUAGUCACUUGGUUAGCCAACAGGAUUGUGGAUGGCACAGCACAGAGUUCUGUCACCUAAGGAAGUCAUCAACUCACUUCAGAGAGCAGAGAUCAUAUUUUAAACUGCUACGGGUAGCUCUAUCAGAGUACAUAAUCCUGAUUUUAGAGGUACUCACACACAGCUAAGUUUAACAUCUCCAGGUUAGUUCCUUGUUACCACUGGGCUGUUUUCACACCACCACCACACCACUCCUGUGCUCCUCCUGACCCAGCUGAUCCUACUGAUCCCAGACACAAUGCAUCACAUCAGUUGAUUGGGGUUUCUGGAGGCUGUGUAGCCCAAUCCAGCCCAAAGCUGCAGGAUUUGCCUCUUGCAUUGCUCUGGAGUUAGCACUGGACUGAUUCUGCAGUAACUUUGGUUAGGGACCAAAUUCAGCUGGAAUUUAACCCUCCCAUAUGAAAACAUUGCUGGGGCCAGUGUGAAUUCCUGAACUACUUCACCGAGGGUCAGGCAAGCAACUAUGAAGAAGCCAGGAAGGGAAGAGAAUCACACAGAGCAGAGGUGACAGCAGGAACAUCCAUGCAGACUGAUUUUAACUUUCCCAAAACUGCUGUUCGGUGCUUCAACUUACCUGGCUGUUAACGUGGGAUCACACUCUUCACCUCCUUCAUACGGUCCUGAGAACAGCAGAAUUAAACUUGGUUCUUACCCUUAAGGCCUGGCACCAGCACAUCAAAAAGAAGGGAGUCGUCUGAAACGCCAAGACAGACCGUACUCAGCAAAUGCGACCCCGUGGCACAAAUGGACUUGGCAAAAAGGUAAUGCCUGCCUGUGCGAGAGACCCCAUUUUCCAGGGACCUGUCUGAAUUUGGAGAAUGAGCUCCUUGGAGACCAAAGGACCCUUCGGUACCUGCUCUCCCAUGCUGCAAGGCACGAUUCUUCCCACCUGUACUGCAAGCACACUGCAGCCCAAUGUGGGGAGAUGGGAACAAACCACGCAUUUGCGUAUUAGUCUCAUUUGAGGUUAAUGGGAAAGUGCUCGAAUGCUGCACUGAAAAUCUCAGGGUAAGACAGAACAGAACACUUCCAUCAUUAGGAGCCAUAAGGAGGCUAAGUGAUGCCCAGGAGGAAAUCGUUAUAUAAUACUUUGUCCUGAUAAAUACAGGUGAUUACUUCGGUGCAUGAUGCAUCUUAAAAGGAAAUACAAACCUUUGGUUAAGAGUCAGGCUGGUCUUCAGCACAGUCCGUGUCUGAUCGUCUGCAGGACACCGUCUGUCAUUCUACAGCCAAUAAUUAAGCUGUUCAUGUGACGAGACUGAAGCUGUGAGGUCAUUACCUCAUGCAAUUACACGUGCCUUAAAUUAAUUAUAGUCAUCAUUCUCACACAUGUGCAACAGUUCAGUCCUUUAGCUGUGUCUGAUACGACAGCAAGUGAAAACACGGCAUACGGAGGAAAAAUAAUGCAGACUUUGGUCCUCCAGUUAAAGUGGUUUGGUAGGAGAUGUUGUUGGGUUUUGAUCACACGGCCUUAUACUCAAUUCCACAUAUCUAACAAGCGGAAUUGGUUUGCACUUUGAUCACAAACACAGGGGCGCUGAGUUUCAGAACUGCUUUAUUCAUAGCUGUUCUCUAGAACUAAUCAGCAAAUAAGCCGUAUUUACUUUUGCCAUGAAAGUAUUUAUGAAGCGUUUCUCAUAUUAGAGAUGAUGAAAAUUAAGAGGAAAAAUAAAAUGCUUCUACUCUGAAGCGCUGAAGCCCUCUUGGCAAAGACUGUUUAUCCAUUACAGUGACAGGCUUAUCAAGAAGCCACAUUAAUCCUGUCCACAUAUAAGGAGCAAGAACACUGCGCUCCUGUCAUGCCUUUGCACAACGAGGAGUAGAGCUAAGACAAAUCGUGUUUCAUUAGCAAGGCCAUUACAAAUUCAGGUCUUGACCAAACAUACUGGGAUUAGGAGCCAGAACUCAGUGAGGCAUUUGCCCUCAAGAAGGCCCAAGGCAUGUAGAGAUGUAUAAAACAUACAUAAAACUCCUCUCAAAUAACUGUUCCUAAAGGAACAUACCUUCUGGGGAAGGGAGCCUGUUUGAGUGCCACUGUGCAGUUCUAAUAGCUGUAGAACCCACCCCAGCAGCUUGCCAUGCCCCUCAGCUCAGCCUUCAGACUGAAACAAAGAUCUUGAAGAUAUUCAGAUACAGUAGCAUAUUUUCUUGUUUGCUUAGUUCAUCAUAUUUGUCUCCAAAUACAGCUACCUACCUGCCUUUUGGUGAAAUAAAUCAGUUUGUUUCCCUUAAAUUCCCACCAGCGUGGAGUAGUUUAGCAAACCCCAGACACCGGGAUUCAUUUUGGAGCACUGAGCACUUUACACAGCCAUUGCAAUAAGGUAAGUAAAGGACUUGUCACGGAGUAGGAAAUGCAGUAUGAAACUGGCUCAGUAUGACCAUGGAGUGUGGGGGUAGCCCAGCCUCACCCAGCCUUGCCCAUGCUCCUCUAUGGAGGCACGCUACGCCCUGAACCAUGCCCACACACCACCUUGGAGAUUGCUAGUUGACACAGGCCAAAACCGUUUCAGGUACCAGGAUUAUUAGGAUGGAUACCAGGAUUAUUACGCUGACUGCAUAACAGUCAGCAAGCAAUCCCAUGCUCAUGCUUUCUACCUACCCCCAGGCACAGCUAAGGAACCCAGGCUUUGGCACCUGAUUACCGGGAACUUGCUGGCAAAUUGCAGCGGGGAGGACCUGCAACUCCUACGAAUAAAGCUGUGAAGGUCUGAAUUCUUUGAAAGUUUGAGUGAAAUCCUUAUCUGUGCUGAAACCUCACUCUUGGCUUUUGUGCUCAGCUCUUAUGUAAGGGCAGCAAAUUAGUUUAUCUUCCUUCGUGUCCUCCAGGUCAGUGACACACCGCCAUCGGGUCACGUUACUGUUUAGCUGAACGGCCAUACCACACACUUACAUGCUGUAACAGCGCGUGUCCUUCUCUCAACUGUGAGUUACCAGCAACUGCCAUUCCUCCUAGAACUACAGUUCAAACACCCCACAGCAGGAUCAACAUCAUUCUUAGGCGGAAACACCCACUACACUUCAGAGCUGUGCCAAAGUGCUGUGUUACUCAAAGCCCUAACCACCUGCAACUAUCUGAGUCCCGCAGAAUUUAGAGGAUAUGCCUCAGGUCUGACACUGCUACUCUGUGGCCCUUGCAAUGCCGCUACUCAUUCAAAACAAACACUCAGUUUUGCAAACAGAAACAGAUAAAUACUGCAUCAUGAGGUUGUUUCACUUCCC
Gallus gallus (chicken) is the source of this 5885-nucleotide long non-coding RNA. Lineage: Eukaryota; Metazoa; Chordata; Aves; Galliformes; Phasianidae. The record is from Ensembl.